This is a non-coding RNA of Bombardia bombarda, 79 nucleotides long. Lineage: Eukaryota; Fungi; Ascomycota; Sordariomycetes; Sordariales; Lasiosphaeriaceae. The record is from the annotation of a GenBank genome assembly.
GGGCUGAUGGUCUAGAGGUAUGAUUCUCGCUUUGGGUCACACAUGCGAGAGGUCCCGGGUUUAAUCCCCGGUCUGCCCC